Non-coding RNA from Leptonychotes weddellii (Weddell seal), 3771 nucleotides. NCBI's taxonomy places the organism in Eukaryota, Metazoa, Chordata, Mammalia, Carnivora, Phocidae. The record is from RefSeq and is a predicted model, not a curated record.
AUCUCUGUGUGUGCACACGUGUGUGCAGGUGCACAGGCCAGUCUCCUGGGGCUCUGCUGAUCCCUGGGGGGGAUACGCCCUCCCAACUUCAGGUCUCAGCUGAUGCUGAUGUGUCUCCGCCCUCGGCCUGUCACCUCCUACCACAGCAUUCGGUUUUCUCUUCAUAGCGCUCAGAGGCACCUGUGGUGACAUUAUGACUUUUAUUGCUGAUGUGCUCCGUGUCUCCCCAAGGGCUGCUGUCGUUCCCAGCGGUGGACUUCGAGGGCAGCAAACAGGCUGGGAGCAGCUGGGUCCUGCAGCAGAGAGCUGGAGAGGAAUAGCUUUCGUCCUCACCCUUCCUGCCAGGAGGACCUCUGGGAGCUGACUGCUCCCGGGCUCCGCCUUCAGGCCUCGUCACCACCCACUGUGUAUCAGGAACCUCCCAAGCAUUUCAGUUUGCAGAGCUGGCUGGACACAUUACAUAGCGAGUGGCCGGCAGCAGUGAGUCCCAACCGUGACCUUCGCCCCGGAAGGAGGUCGCUUUAUUUUGAAGCUGCGUUGAACUGUGCAUCGGCUGAGACCUGCCUUUUCUCCCCCAGUGAAGAGAUUAAAAUCCUUAAAUGCCUUCUGGCAAAAGGGACAGCUGCCUCUUUAUCCUUAAAAUGCAAGUCAGCAAGGAACACACUGGCCAGGGCCCGUGUGGGUUGGAGGAAGGCUGCCUGUCCCUGUGACCUAACCCCAUUGAUUUCCCCAAUCUGAUGAGACCUGGGCAGUGAUCGAUAUCCGUGCAUUUCUGCGAGUGAAUGCAGAGGGAAGCGGGAGGCGGGGAGCCAUGCGCCGGGGACACCAGCGCACGGGCCGGCCCUGCCAGCCGUGGGAGAGCCCACCCCUCUGGCCGGAGCUGCACCCCAAAGGCAGGAUGGUGAUGAGCAACGGUCGGCCACACACGGAUCACAGGACCCCAGUGGGCUUCGGGUGGAUGGGAAAAAUAAUUCACGUGGCACGGUCUGACCCCAGCUCACCUGGCGUCCGGUGUCCCCAGCAGCUGUCCGCUGGAGGACUUUCUGCAUCUGGCUUCACCUUCUGUCCGCUCCUGCCCUGGAGACGCUCAGCCUUCUUACCCACUGGCUCCGUUCAGCUUGUAGUCUCAGUGCCUUGAACCCAGACCUGGGCAGCCGAUUCAUGCUUUGUUGAAUGACUGAGUGCAUUUCUGGUGGGGCUGUCCUGUCCCCUUUCACUGUGUCUGGCCACUAUUUGCGCUUCUCUGUCCCUCGUCCCUUGGCCCAGGAUUUCUGUGUGGGGCAUGUGCCCGGAUAUUUCCACUCUUGGAAAUCCUACACAGCCUUCAGAACCCCACUCAAAUGUCACCUCCUCCAGGAAGCCUUCUGUCACCUCCAGCUAGAAGUGGUCCUUCCCUGCCUGAGUUCAGGCUGGGUGCUUAGUGGUCUCAGAGGUGUCCCUUCCAGUAAUGAUGGCUGCUUCUUUUUUGUUCUUGCUAAAUAUUGCCGUCAUGGUAGACUGUCCUUGGACUCAUCUGGGGUUCCUUCUGAGAGGAAGCUGGAUUUGGAACGUCCUCUCAUUUCUAUGCCUCGGCUGGAAAUACUGCUCCUGCACCAACACUCUGAAGCCCAGUCUUAGAUCCAACCUCCUUUCUUUUGGGCGUCCGGUGCCAGGCCUUUGCCUGCUGCCAACCCCUUAACCAUGGGGUGCUUUCCAUCUUGUCUGGACUCCAAAGGCCAGUAGGACCAUCGGGUACACCUCUUCCCCCUGCCGCUAGCCACGCUCCCUGCUGCUGCUAAGGUGAUAGAUUUAGGGUGGGAACCUGCUGGGGGCCCUCUCCUGCUCACACCCAGCCCCUGGUGGUCCUGGCUGCCCAGCACAGCCCGCAGCUCCCUGUCGCCUGCCAUCCCCUGGUCUGCCAUGCUGCAUAGUACCGGCCCCUCGUGUGCCUCCUCGCGCCUCUGCAUCUUUGCUCACCGUGCCCUCUGCCUGGCGUGCCCACUCCGUGUGUCUGCACCUGGCCCGCCUUUAAGACCGAACGGAGGAAUCACCCAGGAAUCCCAAGCCUCCGGUGGGCUGCAUGUCUGGACCCCACCUCACCCCCUGGGUGGUUAGUCCCUCUUGAACUCAUCAGCAUCCAAGGCCAAAGGCUGCAUUUUGUCUCUCUGGACUGCCAGAUCCUGGCCCAACCUUUGCUGAGCCCACCAUGGGAGGCUAAGCGGGACCACCCUCCAGUAGCCCAGCUUGGGGCUAGAUCGCGGGCUGGCCUUGUCCACGAUGAGCAGGCAUGACUGUGGCCCACGCCAUGGUGGGGUUCUCCAUCAGGGCCGAUGCCUCCCUCUGAAACCGACACCUCAUCUUCACCUAGCCCGGCCGGAGGCCGCCCCUGGAGCGUGGCCUUGGCUGUGUGCAGAGAUGUCUCAGUCCUGCUGACCACCGGACAGGCAGUCCUCAAACGCCACUGAGGCAACACAUGGCAUGCUUAUUUCGGCUCACAAUAUCUGCUGACCUCUUCCCCAGGAGGGACUCAGCUGGCUGGGGAGGCAACGUAGGGACAGUCCAUUGGGACGUGGCCACCUCAGUCUGGGAGUGAGAGCAUGUUCUUCCAUUCCUCUCCCUUUGGCCAGAACUGGACAUCUGGUCCCCCCGGCACGCGGUGGGGGUGCGGCGGGAAGGGCAGGCCCCACUGGAUGCCUGGCUCUGGGCCAGCUCACUGUCUCUGCCACGGGACUCCGGGCUCAGCGUGGGCACAGUACGUGACAGCUCUGUGCCCCAAAUUUCCCAACUUUUGAAGUCAGCACAAGAAAGCUAUCGUGGGGAUUAAUGUCCCACCAUCAUGAAAGUGGCUUUUGUGAGGGCUGGCCAAGGACGUAUUUGCCCUCAGUGGCCACUCGGCGUUCCACGGCAACAGAAGCGCCUGGAAGAGGCGUCAGUGACAGCUCAGGGUACUGCCCUCUGCUGCCAGAGCCCCACCCCUCCUCUCAGAGAGAGCUCCCCUUGACUCCUGCUCCUGGAGCCCGGGGUCGAAAGCCAGAAAAUCCAUGGAUGCCACGCCUCGCACGUGGCACACAGCCCAGGGCCCCACACGUGGCUCCCCUAGAGCCAGAGGGGGUGGCACCCAAUUUACGGUUGAGCAAAGAAAGGCCCGGGGACUUGCUUGGAUCAGGGCAGGGCGGGGCUCCAACCCCCGUUUCCGGCUUCCAGGCCGUCCCUCUGGGCUCCGCUCCAGGCCCCCUUCCCAGUGAAGAGGCCUCCUGCCCUGGCUCACGGCAAGUGUCGGCAGGAUGACAAAGGCUGGGCAGAACAUGUCCGAUGCGCUCGUGUGGCAGAAGCUAUUGGGACACAACGAGAAAACUCGAUAAACGGAGAUGUGAGAAUGCGGAUGGUGUCUCGGGGCCGAAACAGGUCUUGGGUAUCCUUGUUGAUUCAAGAGAGUAAAGCAGAGACCGGGGGGCUUGCAGUGUCCUGUCUCACCUGAUCUUCCACCUGAAGACGCAGAUAACUACAUUUGCAUGCUAGAUGGAGAAGUGCGAAUAUUCCCCACAGCGGCCAAAAGGUGAAGAAGCCAUGUGUCCAUCGACGGAUGCGUAAACAUAGUGGGAACCGCCACACAACAGAAUAUUACUCAGCCUUGAAAAAGAAAGGGAAUUCUGACACCUGCUACAACGUGGAUGGACCUUGAGAUUAUCAUGUGGAGUGAAGUAAUCCAACACAAAAGGACAAAUAUUGUAAGAUUCCACUGAUACAAGAUCCCCAGAGUCGUCAGAUUCAUGGAGACAGAAAGUAGGAUGG